This is a long non-coding RNA of Sinocyclocheilus anshuiensis, 111 nucleotides long. RefSeq lists it as uncharacterized. The transcript has 3 exons. The record is from RefSeq and is a predicted model, not a curated record. NCBI's taxonomy places the organism in Eukaryota, Metazoa, Chordata, Actinopteri, Cypriniformes, Cyprinidae.
AUGCAGCUGACAUAAUGUUAUUGAGGCAGUUACAUCAAUUAUUUGUGAUGCUAAUAAAUAUAUACAUAAACUUCCAAACAUAUGUAUUUUGAAAAGGGGUGAAUAAUGUGA